RNAcentral lists this ribosomal RNA (433 nucleotides) under uncultured bacterium. RNAcentral's name for it is "partial 16S ribosomal RNA". It matches the Rfam family "Bacterial small subunit ribosomal RNA", at positions 29 to 507 of the family's 1533-position model. The record is from RNAcentral.
AACGAACGCUGGCGGCAUGCCUAACACAUGCAAGUCGAACGAGACCUUCGGGUCUAGUGGCGCACGGGUGCGUAACGCGUGGGAACAUGCCCUUAGGUUCGGAAUAACUCCCCGAAAGGGGUGCUAAUACCGGAUAAUGUCUUCGGACCAAAGAUUUAUCGCCUUUGGAUGGGCCCGCGUUGGAUUAGCUAGUUGGUAGGGUAAAAGCCUACCAAGGCGACGAUCCAUAGCUGGUCUGAGAGGAUGAUCAGCCACACUGGGACUGAGACACGGCCCAGACUCCUACGGGAGGCAGCAGUGGGGAAUAUUGGACAAUGGGCGAAAGCCUGAUCCAGCAAUGCCGCGUGAGUGAUGAAGGCCUUAGGGUUGUAAAGCUCUAUUACCCGGGAUGAUAAUGACAGUACCGGGAGAAUAAGCUCCGGCUAACUCCGUG